CUAGUAACGGCGAGUGAAGCGGCAACAGCUCAAAUUUGAAAUCUGGCGCACGCCCGAGUUGUAAUUUGUAGAGGAUGCUUCUGGGCAGCGGCCGGUCUAAGUUCCUUGGAACAGGACGUCGUAGAGGGUGAGAAUCCCGUAUGCGACCGGCGCGCACCCUGCACGUAGCUCCUUCGACGAGUCGAGUUGUUUGGGAAUGCAGCUCUAAUUGGGAGGUAAAUUUCUUCUAAAGCUAAAUACUGGCCAGAGACCGAUAGCGCACAAGUAGAGUGAUCGAAAGAUGAAAAGCACUUUGGAAAGAGAGUUAAAAAGCACGUGAAAUUGUUGAAAGGGAAGCGCCUGCGACCAGACGUCGCGGCAGGGUUCCGCCGGCCCUUGUGGCCGGUCCACUCCCUGUCGCGAGGCCAUCAUCGUCUGGGCCCGCCGGAUAAGACCGUGGGAAUGUGGCUCGCCCUCGGGUGAGCGUUAUAGCCCACGGAGAUGCGGCGUGGCUCGGGCGAGGUCCGCGCUUCGGCAAGGAUGAUGGCGUAAUGGUCGCCGGCGGCCCGUCUUGAAACACGGACCAAGGAGUCUAACAUCUAUGCGAGUGUUUGGGUGUCAAACCCCUACGCGUAAUGAAAGUGAACGGAGGUGGGAACCGUGAGGUGCACCAUCGACCGAUCCUGAUGUCCUCGGAUGGAUUUGAGUAAGAGCAUAGCUGUUGGGACCCGAAAGAUGGUGAACUAUGCCUGAAUAGGGUGAAGCCAGAGGAAACUCUGGUGGAGGCUCGCAGCGGUUCUGACGUGCAAAUCGAUCGUCAAAUUUGGGUAUAGGGGCGAAAGACUAAUCGAACCAUCUAGUAGCUGGU
This 847-nucleotide ribosomal RNA is filed under the name Neoacervuloseptoria fraxini. Its description in RNAcentral is "Acervuloseptoria fraxini partial large subunit ribosomal RNA". It matches the Rfam family "Eukaryotic large subunit ribosomal RNA", at positions 80 to 955 of the family's 3401-position model. The record is from RNAcentral. Lineage: Eukaryota; Fungi; Ascomycota; Dothideomycetes; Mycosphaerellales; Mycosphaerellaceae.